GGGCCAUAGCUCAAUUGGGAGAGCGCAACACUGGCAGUGUUGAGGUCGGCGGUUCGAUCCCGCCUGGCUCCACCAU
This 76-nucleotide transfer RNA is filed under the name methanotrophic bacterial endosymbiont of Bathymodiolus sp. RNAcentral describes it as "tRNA-Ala". It matches the Rfam family "tRNA". Rfam says of the family: Transfer RNA (tRNA) molecules are approximately 80 nucleotides in length. Lineage: Bacteria; Pseudomonadati; Pseudomonadota; Gammaproteobacteria. The record is from RNAcentral.